GCAAUUGCUGAGCUGGUAAGAGUUGCUACCACUGCAGUUAUAACAGUGUCAAAGUGUUUGGAGGAUAUAACUGAUUUAACAGGAAUUAAUAUUAUUUUUCUGAUAGUUCUAACAUUUGAGAUUCUGAUCACCUAGCAAAGGAGCUGGCUGGGAGUGGUGCAAACCAAAAGCCUAGUUUUAUUGCAUUUUUUCACAUUCCCUGUGGCUUCUGUGCAUCCUUUUCUUUCAUUAAACUUCAUGUGACCUUACUUUUUGCAUAGCUUAAAACCUGCAGAAGUAUACGUGUUUCCAUGCCUAAAAAUACCAAACAUUAAAAUAUCUAGAAAAUAUACAAGGGGCAGAAAGUUGUUUCUAAAACAAGAAAACCAGGCUUAUAAUAUAAAUUAUCAUAUGCUAAUUUUUAAUUGGGGAAAAGGUGAUCCAUUUCAAGCAUUUUCUGUAAGUUAUUCACUUGUAAGCAUUAGGGUGUGUUUGAAAAAGGCGUGAUUGAGAAAGGCAGACACUAUGAAACUUUUAAAGUUUUUUACUUUUGUAAAAGUACCACCACUGAGUUUGUGGUACUUCUGGAGAAAAUAUAAUGAAUGUCUUUAUAUAGAGAGAGGUCUAAUCUUUAUAUUCCUUUUCUUCCAACUCACCUCAUCACCUGUGCAUUGAGCAGAGCUUCAUCUACCUUGCACCUUCUGUAAUCUAGAGAGCCACCAUGAUGAAAAAUUCUGAAGGACACAGAAGAAAGCCACCUUCUCUGUGCUUUUCAUUACUUGCUAAUACUCUUGGUAUGUUCUGUGUUCUAACUGGGAAUGUGAAAGUGCCUGGCAUCUAAAAUACAAUCUAAUUGCAGCAUAAUGAAGUAAGAGUAAAACCUUUCUAAGAUAUGCAGAGAUUAUCGUUUUUUCCAUAGUAUACGAAGUUCUUUAAUGUUUUAAGCAAAAGUAGGUGUUAACAAAUCUGUGUGUUUAAUGUAGGUAUGUGGCUGCUAACUGAACUAAAAGCCAAUCUGUGUUUCAGAGCAGUAACUUGAACAGCUUGUUCACCCAAGGUAAUCUCAGUGUCAAAGAAUAUAUUGUGUUUUGCUGUUGGUUUUAGGAGGCAUGCUGAAGUUCUGUCGUUUGGGAGACUGUGCAGUUAAAUCUGCUACUCUGAGCUAAUCCAUGUCCUUUGUUCUUGAUUCAUGUACAUAUCUGCUCCCUAUUAAAACAUUAUCAUUUAUAAGAAUACACCUGUGGUCUCUGAAUUUAUAGAGUUUCUGUUAUUAUCAGGAAGAACAGUGCUUUAAUGUGUUCUUUAGGCUGCAUGAAAGUAUUUUUUCCUUUUUUAGUUCUUUCUUUACCCUGUGACAAUGCAGCAGUCACCCUUCAUCGGUGGGCAUUGUGAAAUGAUGAGGCAGUAUCUUUCUGCAAGGUACACCUUGGUAAGGCCUUGAGGCCACUAUUCCCUUGGCUGAGCAUUUUCUAGAAGCAAAGAGAUGAGAGCUGUUUUGUCCUAUAGCAAUGCACAGAUCUAAAAUGAGGGAGUUAAGGUUUAUUUUCCCUGUCUGCUUUCUCCUAUAAGAGCUUGAUCUUUUUACACUUGCAUCAGUGAAUCUCAGGCGUAAUUCUGGUGAGGUCCGUGAAACUGUAUAACUGUGGUGUAGCUGCUGGUGUAACUGGAGGCAGACACAAUCAAGCAUAAUUCAUAGAAUCACAGAGUGGUUUGAGUUGGAAAGGGCCUUACAGGUCAUCUAGUUCCAGCCUCCCCACGUUGGGCAGGACACCUUUCAUUAGACCAGAUUACUCAGAUCCUCUUCCAACCUGGCCUUGAACACUGUCAAGAUUGAGGCAUCUACCCCUUCUCUGGGAAACCUGUUCCAGUGUUUCACCAUCCUCACAUUAAAUAUUUUCUUCCUAACAUCUAAUAUAAACCUACCUUCUUUCAGUCUGAAGCCAUUCCCCAUGUCCUAUUGCCACAGUUCUCAACAAAGAGUCCCUCUCCAGCUUCCCUGUAUCCUCCUUCAGAUACUGGCACACAUAGUUUAUGGCUACGCGACUCUGCCAGCUUUGUUUGGGAACAGUCCUAACCUGCCUCUGAUGUGGGAAGAAGCUUGAUGAAGCAAAGUGGUUUAUUCACACUGCUGUGCUAGGCACAGCUUUCCUAUUCUCCUGUUGAGCUGAAAGAGGCAGCUCCCUUUCCACUUCAAGUUUGGCUCUCUUUCCACUACGGACCUCAAUUCAUAUGCUUCUCAUUACCAUCCACACAGUUAGUUUAUAAAAUUAAAUUAAAGUAGUAAACAAAAUACCAGAUACUCCUCCUAAAGCUCCAUCUAUAAAUAUCUCCCCUGCCUACUCAUGCUGUCUGAUUAAGAAUCAGUAAGCAGUUAGUUUGAGAACCUAAAGCAGGUCUGAUUCCAUCAAGAUAGGCAGGUUUUUUUGCUUGUUUUUUUUUUUUUUUUUUUAAUUUGUUUAUUUGUUUGUUUUUUUUUUUUAAAUGGAGCUAUUCCAUUUAGCUUCCUGUUUCAUAGGUAAAAAGCCCCAAUAUUCCCCAAAUGCACACUGGCAAUGUUGAAGCCUCCUAUUUUAAGAUUUUCAGAAUUAAAAAGAUUUUUCAUUCUGAAAUAUUUUUUGAUCCAAAAUGGACUAAUAUAACCUGUCCAAAGUGGAUCUUGAAAUACUUGAUUUUUUUUAAUCUCUCAGACUAGCUAAGAGAUACCAUGGUUCUGGCUGUUGGUUCCCAAGAACUGUGAAGACAUUUUUGUUUUAUUUGCUUUGUUAUCAAGUAGUGUUUAUCUAUGUACCAAAUAAACAUGGAAAAAUGAACAGU
Molecule: long non-coding RNA, 2793 nt
Organism: Oenanthe melanoleuca
Lineage: Eukaryota; Metazoa; Chordata; Aves; Passeriformes; Muscicapidae
Exons: 3
Source: RefSeq, a predicted model, not a curated record